CAGGUCAAGCAAGAUUACCUACUAACUUAGUAGGAUUUUGCUAGUAAUGGUGAGUGAAGUAGGAAUAGUCUAGCUUGAGAAUUGGGCACCCUUAGUGUCUGAAUUGUAGUCUGGAGAAGUGUCUUUAGUAGUGGUCCAGGCCCAAGUCCCCUGAAAAAAGGCUUCAGAGAAGGUGAGAGCCCUAUUAUGCCUGGAUCCUAUCACACAUGAGCCACUAUCUAUGAGUCAGGUUGUUAUGGGUAUGCAACCCUAAUGGGGUGGUAAAUUCCAUCCAAGGCUGAAUAAGGGCGAGAGACCAAUAGUGAAUAAGUACCGUAAGGGAAAAAUGAAAAGGACUUUAAAAAGAGAGUCAAAGAGAGCUUGAAAUUGUUAAAAGGGAAGCGGAUGGAGGCUGGCGAUGCACCCCAGUUAGAUGUGGAACUACAAGAACCAGUCGACAGAUCAGUUCGAGACAUGGACCAUCAUGGUCUUGAUGGUGGCCCAAUCUCGAGCUUUUGAUAUGCCUAUGAAGAUGUCAUUGCCAUAAUUAUGGAAUGCAGCACGCAUCAUCUUGGCAUUCCUCAGCACCAUCAUGCUCCAACAGGCUAGAAAACUUGUAAGGUGAAAGGAAGUCAAUUAGCAAGAUCCCUCGCAAGUGCACCAUUGAUCGACCUUGAUCUUUUAAGAAAGGUUCAAGUGUGAGCAUGCUUGUUAAGACUCGAAAGAUGGUGAACUACGCUUGAGUGGGACGAAGCCAGAGGAAACUUUAGUGGAGGGCUGCAGCGAUACUGAUGUGCAAAUCAUUUGUCUGACUUAGGUAUAAGGGCAAAAGACUAAAUAAACCAUCUAGUAGUCGGAUCCCUCUAAAGUUUCCCUCAGGAUAGCUGGAGCCCUUAACGAGUCUAUCGAGUAAAGCCAAUGAUUAGAGGCAUUAGGGCUGCAACGCCAUCGACCUAUUCUCAAACUUUAAAUAGGUAGGAUGGCAUGACUGCUUCAUUGAGCCAUGCCAUAGAAUUGAGAGCUCCAAGUGAGCUACUUUUGGUAAGUAAAACUGGUGAUGAUGGAUGAACCAAAUGCCAAGUUACGAUGACUAACUUCGCCCUAACCUAGAACCCAUAAAGGGUGUUGGUCAAUUAAAAUAGCAGGAUAGUGGUCAUGGAAGAUAAAAUUUGCUAAAGAGUGUGUAACAACUCACCUGCCACAUCAACUAGCCUUGAAAAUGGAUGGCGUUUAAGCUAUGACUUAUACCUGGCCGUUGAGGUAAAGGCCAGGCCUCUAUAAGUAGCAGGGCAUAAUGGUUGUCAAAAAACAUAGGGUGCAAAUGUGGGAAGAACAACUAUCAGUGCAGAUCUUAGUAGUAGUAGCAAAUAUACAAAUGAGAACUUUGAAGGUCGAAGAGGGGAAAGGUUCAUAUAAACGGCACUUACACAUAGGAUAGUGGAUCUAAGAGACUGGGGAAGCUCGUUCGAUAGUGCAUUUGGUGUGAGCUUCAAAGACGAAUCAGGUUAAAAAUCUUGAACUGAGACAUGGUAGCUGAUGGCAAAGUUAGGGAGUCCAGAGACAUUGGUAUGCCCUUGGAAAGAGUUAUCUUUUCUAUUUAAUAGCCUACCUACCUUGGAAACAGCUCAGUCGAAGGUAGGGUCUAGUGGUCAGAAGAGCAAUGCACAUCAUGUGGUGUCCAGCGCACCCCUGAUGGCCUUUAAAAAUCCUAAGGAUCGAGUGCCAUCUACCCCUAAUCGAACUCAUAACCGCAUCAAGUUUUCAAGGUCAAUAACCUCUAGCCAGUGGAACAAUGGAGGCAAGGGAAGUCAGCAAAAUGAAUCUGUAACCUUAAAAAAAGGUUUGGCUAGGAGGGCUAGGCAUGAGGGUCCCAGUCCUAAACUUGACAACUGUCAGUGCAUUGCUUGAGCUACUCCUAUAGUGAGAAUAGGUCACUACAUGUCAGCUAAGGAACAAACUAGGAAUAGCUCCUUCAGGGGCCUUCCUCAAGUGAUGAAGACUCAAAACUAGUAUGUACAAUGGGAAUCCAAUUGUUUAAUUGAAACAAAGCAUUGUGAUGGUCCCUAUGGAUGCUUAUGCAAUGUGAUUUUCACCCAGUUUUUUGAAUGUCAAAGUGAAGAAAUUCAACCAAGCAUGGGUAAAUGGUAGGAGUAACUAUGACUCUCUUAAGGCAGCCAAAUGCUAUGUCAUCUAAUUAGUCACGUGCAUGAAUGGAUUAACAAGAUUCCCACUAACCCUAUCUACUAUCUAGUAAAACCACAGCCAAGGGAAUAGGCUUAGCAGUAUCAACAGAGAAAGAAGACCUUGUUAAGCUUGACUUUAGUCUGAUUUUGUGAAAUAACUUGAAAGGUGUAGGAUAAGUGGGAGCCCUUGGGUGAAGUUGAAAUACCACUACUUUUAAUGUUGUUUUACUUAUUCCAUGAAUCAGAGGUAAGGCACAAUUGCUUCUUUAUGACCCAAAGUGACCUCAAUUGGUUGAUCCAGGUGGAAGACAUUAUGAAGUGAGGAGUUCGGUUAGGGUGGCACAUUUGUUAAAAGAUAAUGUAAGUGUCCUAAGAUAAGCUCAACAAGAACAUAAAUCUCUUGCGGAACAAAAGGGUAAAAGAACAUUUAAUUUUACCAAAACAAAUAUGAACCUUGAAAGCAUGGCCUAUUGAUCCUUUAGACCUUUAAAAUUUAAAGCUAAAGGUGUCAAAAAAGUUACCACAAGGAUAAUUGGCUUAUGGCAGCUAAGCAUUCAUAGCAACAUUACUUUUUGAUCUUUCAAUGUCGGCUCUUCCUAUCAUUGUGAAGUAAAAUUCACCAAGUGUUAGAUUGUUCACCCAUCAAUAGGGAACGUGAGCUAGGUUUAGACUGUCAUGAGAAAGGUUAGUUUUACCCUAUAAAUGGUAGUGUCGCAAUAGUAAUUCAACCUAGUAUGAGAGGAAUCUUUGAUUCACACAAUUGGUCAUUGUGCUUGGUUGAAAAGCCAAUGGUGUGAAGCUAUCAUGCACUGGAUUAUGACUGAUCACCUCUAUGUCAGAAUCUAGGUGACAAGUGACACACACGCCUAUCUCUCGAUUGCCAACUCGUAGUAAGGACCAAUGCCCUUAAGGGCAUGUGUCAUAGGCAUAGCCCAAUGGUAGAUAAGCUGUGCGGGCCUCCUUGAAGCUUAAUUCCCAUUAAA
This 3145-nucleotide ribosomal RNA is filed under the name Durio zibethinus. Its description in RNAcentral is "eukaryotic LSU rRNA". It matches the Rfam family "Eukaryotic large subunit ribosomal RNA". Lineage: Eukaryota; Viridiplantae; Streptophyta; Magnoliopsida; Malvales; Malvaceae. The record is from RNAcentral.